GCGCAGCGCCGCAGCCUCCACUCUCUCUAGACUCAGACGAAAACCCUAAAUAAUUUCUUAGGGUUACACAGUUAUAUCAGAUGCGCCGCUACCAACAACUGCUAUUACCAUCUCUCUCUUAAACCUUGCAAACCCUAGAAAACUAUCUCUGCUAAAAACUACCUUCGUUCUCAUACGAAAACCACCAAAAUCAACAAUCACAAAGGUAGCGCCUAUUUCAUCUUCCACGAACAACGGCGAAAGAAAGUACUACAAAUCGACGCUCACUCCAGUUCAAUAUACAGAAAAAGGUGUCGAAUUCCAUGAAAUAAUCAGGAUUACCCAUAUUCAAGAUAAGUAUCUAUAUAUUUUUUUUCUUAUAUUUAACUAUGUUCAUGAAUUGCUAUACUGAUGUUUCUUUCUUUCCCUAUUUGACAGAAAUUGGAGAAAAAUAGUUACAAAAAAUAAAAAGAGGUAUUAAUUACAGACGCGCGAAGAAAUUGGUAUAAACAGUUGAAAGCGAAAUCGAAGACGAACUAUCUUAAAGUUUUGCCUGACAAAGAUAGCUGGACUUCAGAAGGAUGCAAAUCCACAAUUUUGGUAUACACAGGUGCCAUGAUGUCUUCCAAUACCUGCAAUCAUUAAAAAAAUAUCAAUCAUUCUCUGUAACACUUAUCUGUAAUAGGUAGUAUUUGUAAGAAAAGAUUCAUUAUAUGUACACCUUAGAUAUAGAUUUUUAGUACUUAAGAGAUAAACUUGAACUACACAAACAGGGCUUACAACUUUCAAGCAUAACAGAAGAACAGCAAAGGUAUGUAAACAGGUAGACUUUCCAUUCUUUGCAGUAUAUUAUUUAUCAGUCUAA
Molecule: long non-coding RNA, 844 nt
Organism: Salvia miltiorrhiza (redroot sage)
Lineage: Eukaryota; Viridiplantae; Streptophyta; Magnoliopsida; Lamiales; Lamiaceae
Exons: 5
Source: RefSeq, a predicted model, not a curated record